GUGAAUCAUCGAAUCUUUGAACGCAAAUUGCGCUUCCUGGCAUCCCGGGGAGUAUGCCUGUUUGAGGGUCAGUAUUAAUAAAAAAUCGGGUUAGGUACAAAUUGUUACGUUUCCGGAGUUUGGGCUAUCUUAACUUUUUUGGUUAAGAGGCGUAAUAUUGACCUUUUUGGCGCGUUUUUAAACGGACAUAAAUUUUUUUUAUUCGCC
This 207-nucleotide unclassified non-coding RNA is filed under the name Rhizophagus sp. (in: glomeromycetes). RNAcentral describes it as "partial contains 5.8S ribosomal RNA and internal transcribed spacer 2". The stretch from base 1 to 71 matches the Rfam family "5.8S ribosomal RNA", at positions 84 to 154 of the family's 154-position model. Lineage: Eukaryota; Fungi; Glomeromycota; Glomeromycetes; Glomerales; Glomeraceae. The record is from RNAcentral.